Molecule: ribosomal RNA, 229 nt
Filed under: uncultured bacterium
Lineage: Bacteria
Description: partial 16S ribosomal RNA
Rfam family: Bacterial small subunit ribosomal RNA
Source: RNAcentral
UACGUAGGCGGUUUAGUGUGUUGAGUGUGAAAGCCCAAGGCUUAACCUUGGAAUUGCAUUCAAAACUGCUAGACUUGAGUAUAAUAUGGGAUGGCGGAAUUUCUAGUGUAGGGGUGAAAUCCGUAGAUAUUAGAAGGAACACCAACGGUGAAGACAGCUAUCUAGAUUAUAACUGACGCUGAGGUACGAAAGCGUGGGGAGCAAACAGGAUUAGAUACCCUGGUAGUCC